GCCUACGGGGGGCAGCAGUAGGGAAUUUUCGUCAAUGGGCGCAAGCCUGAACGAGCAAUGCCGCGUGAACGAGGAAGGUCUUCGGAUCGUAAAGUUCUGUUGACGGGGAAAAAAGACCGGGAAAGGAAAUGAUCCCGGAGGAGAUAUUACCCGUCGAGGAAGUCACGGCUAACUACGUGCCAGCAGCCGCGGUAAUACGUAGGUGGCGAGCGUUAUCCGGAAUGAUUGGGCGUAAAGGGUGCGUAGGCGGGACUGCAAGUCAGAUGUGAAAACCACGGGCUCAACCUGUGGCCUGCAUUUGAAAA
This 305-nucleotide ribosomal RNA is filed under the name uncultured bacterium. RNAcentral describes it as "bacterial SSU rRNA". It matches the Rfam family "Bacterial small subunit ribosomal RNA", at positions 337 to 633 of the family's 1533-position model. The record is from RNAcentral.